UCUGCCCAUUUCUUAUUAAUCCCUGGAAUGAAAGUGUUGAAUAUAAGAAGAGGAAACUCAUGUACAAAUGAGCAAAUUUCAGAACAAAUGAAAACUUGAAGUUAAUGUUUAGAAGUAAAGAAAAGUUGACAGAUAUUCCUGCUUUGCCUAGUCUUCUUUUAUCCUGAAUUAAUUACUUGGGCCUAGACCUCUGCUGUCAAGAGUCGGUUUCAUUCCACCUUUGUUAAGGUCUGGUUUAGGAUUAUGUUAAUGGCAACUGGACCAAAUCUCUGUCAGGUCUACAAGGACCAUAACUGACCUUCAUAUUCAAAGGAAAUAAAACAAACCAUGCUGUCAUCCAUCUAUGACCUCCAAUGGUGAGAUUCAGCUAUGCAUUCAACUGUCAUAGGGCCUCUCUUUUUAUAUUUCAAGGACUCAAUUCAACCUUCUGAACUGUCCAGGACUCCUUCCAUUUCCUGCUAGUCAUAUAUUUUGAAUCAUCACAAAGCCAUUUUUAAAAAAUCAUGAACAAAAGCAAAAUUAAAGCUGCAUUAAUACAUAAUG
Long non-coding RNA from Crotalus tigris (Tiger rattlesnake), 543 nucleotides. RefSeq lists it as uncharacterized. NCBI's taxonomy places the organism in Eukaryota, Metazoa, Chordata, Lepidosauria, Squamata, Viperidae. The transcript has 5 exons. The record is from RefSeq and is a predicted model, not a curated record.